This 1215-nucleotide long non-coding RNA is filed under the name Strigops habroptila (Kakapo). RNAcentral's name for it is "lncRNA (ENSSHBG00005008712.1)". The record is from RNAcentral. Lineage: Eukaryota; Metazoa; Chordata; Aves; Psittaciformes; Psittacidae.
UUUGCAAACAUAAUUAAAACACAGACAUGUUCACUAAUACUAUCUAAAAACAUACAAGUGUCGUGAGUCUUUAUUCACUUACUGUAUGCUUGUUCUGUACUAUUGCCACUUCCUAUGGAGUAACGUCCAGUAGUAACACUGGCACAUGGCACCUUCUCUGAGUCAGACUUUUAUAAUCAAAGUUGCCAAUACAAUGCCUGAGGUUGAUAAGUAAGAUACAGGGUUCUUCUUCUGAGUUAUGUCAGUGGCUGUAUAACUCUAAAUACGAAAGAGAUGUUUUACAAAAAAACAAAGGCAAGUGUUUUACAUUAAAUCUUAUAAAACUGUACAUAAUAAAAGUCUACAACAUGAAAACGGCCAUUAAACUGUUGUGAUAGUUACGAAAUGUAGUAAAUAUAACAAUGCUAAUGUUUCAUGUAUUUAUCAUUAAUCACUGUAUUCAUACAGUGCUGUUUGUAUAUAUAAAUAUUCAAUGGCACUGUAAACAGGUGUUGGAAAACACACAUUUACUCUUAACCCAUUAGAAGUUAUUGUAGUACUUUUUAAUCCAAAAGGUCAAAAUGCAUUAAUGCAUCAUUGAUUUAGAAAAAUAGCCUUGUACUAUGAUGCACAUUUUGACAUUUUCUAGGGUAGCAAUCAGGAUGAAGCAUAACAAAGAAUGCCAGAUUUCAGACUGGUUUACAUUUACACCUACCAUGACACAAAAUUUUAAACAUUAAAUGUCAUUAAAUAAUACACAGUUUAUAAAACAGUUGAUUUCAGAGAUGCACAAUACACAAAAAUCUAGUUAGUGUCUAAUGGGAGUUCCCAAUAAUUUAUAUCUCUGGGACCUUUAUGAGAAAUUUAAGUCUGUUUCUCUUUACCAUCACGUAGGCAAAGUGAGUUUGAAUUGAAUUACCUUUUUCUUAGUCUGUACAGAGCUGCAUUCAACUGGAUAAAAUAUGCUUAUUCAUGUUUUCCACUGCUGGACAUUCAUCCAAUAAGUCUUGAGCAUAUGCUUAAGCAUCUGGUAAUGGCAUUUUGUGGGGCAAGGAAACUCACUAUCUCUAUCCCUCAGUAAACAAAGUGGUUCUAAUUUUAUCCAUAGUUAAGGCAACUAUACUGAUAUAUUAGACACACCAUAUGCUUUUAUGUUGCUGCCUACAAUCUAAACGGUAAGAGCGAAAGGAAGUUUCAAACAUGCUUUGAUCUUCUUGACCACUCAGGAGUUUCAUC